AGGUCUCCGUUGGUGAACCAGCGGAGGGAUCAUUACUGAGUUAUCUAAACUCCCAACCCUUUGUGAACCUUACCGUCGUUGCCUCGGCGGGCUGUACUUACCCUGUAGCUACCCUGUAGCUACCCGGUAGGUGCGCUCCAAGCCCGCCGGUGGACCACUAAAUUCUAUUUUACUACUGUAUCUCUGAAUGCUUCAACUUAAUAAGUUAAAACUUUCAACAACGGAUCUCUUGGUUCUGGCAUCGAUGAAGAACGCAGCGAAAUGCGAUAAGUAAUGUGAAUUGCAGAAUUCAGUGAAUCAUCGAAUCUUUGAACGCACAUUGCGCCCAUUAGUAUUCUAGUGGGCAUGCCUAUUCGAGCGUCAUUUCAACCCUUAAGCCUAGUUGCUUAGUGUUGGGAAUCUGCCCUGUAUUUAUAGGGCAGUUCCUUAAAGUGAUCGGCGGAGUUAGGGCAUACUCUAAGCGUAGUAAUAUUCUUCUCGCUUCUGUAGUUGUCCUGGCG
RNAcentral lists this ribosomal RNA (500 nucleotides) under fungal endophyte. RNAcentral describes it as "eukaryotic LSU rRNA". The stretch from base 210 to 363 matches the Rfam family "5.8S ribosomal RNA". Lineage: Eukaryota; Fungi. The record is from RNAcentral.